GAUGAACGCUGGCGGCGUGCCUAAUACAUGCAAGUCGAGCGAACAGACGAGGAGCUUACUCCUCUGACGUUAGCGGCGGACGGGUGAGUAACACGUGGAUAACCUACCUAUAAGACUGGGAUAACUUCGGGAAACCGGAGCUAAUACCGGAUAACAUGUUGAACCGCAUGGUUCAACAGUGAAAGACGGUCUUGCUGUCACUUAUAGAUGGAUCCGCGUCGCAUUAGCUAGUUGGUAAGGUAACGGCUUACCAAGGCAACGAUGCGUAGCCGACCUGAGAGGGUGAUCGGCCACACUGGAACUGAGACACGGUCCAGACUCCUACGGGAGGCAGCAGUAGGGAAUCUUCCGCAAUGGGCGAAAGCCUGACGGAGCAACGCCGCGUGAGUGAAGAAGGUCUUCGGAUCGUAAAACUCUGUUAUUAGGGAAGAACAAAUGUGUAAGUAACUAUGCACGUCUUGACGGUACCUAAUCAGAAAGCCACGGCUAACUACGUGCCAGCAGCCGCGGUAAUACGUAGGUGGCAAGCGUUAUCCGGAAUUAUUGGGCGUAAAGCGCGCGUAGGCGGUUUUUUAAGUCUGAUGUGAAAGCCCACGGCUCAACCGUGGAGGGUCAUUGGAAACUGGAAAACUUGAGUGCAGAAGAGGAAAGUGGAAUUCCAUGUGUAGCGGUGAAAUGCGCAGAGAUAUGGAGGAACACCAGUGGCGAAGGCGACUUUCUGGUCUGUAACUGACGCUGAUGUGCGAAAGCGUGGGGAUCAAACAGG
RNAcentral lists this ribosomal RNA (766 nucleotides) under uncultured Staphylococcus sp. RNAcentral describes it as "bacterial SSU rRNA". It matches the Rfam family "Bacterial small subunit ribosomal RNA", at positions 28 to 776 of the family's 1533-position model. Lineage: Bacteria; Bacillati; Bacillota; Bacilli; Caryophanales; Staphylococcaceae. The record is from RNAcentral.